Molecule: long non-coding RNA, 4170 nt
Filed under: Nicotiana benthamiana
Lineage: Eukaryota; Viridiplantae; Streptophyta; Magnoliopsida; Solanales; Solanaceae
Description: long non-coding RNA (NBEN_LNC021094)
Source: RNAcentral
AAGAUUGGUGCGAUUUAGAAUCUAAAGAGAACUAAAACAUCAAAAAAGGUUGACUAAGAAAAUUGUCAUCAGUGAGCUUUAAUGCUUGAAUUUAUAUCAAUUUAGAAUCGAACUAAUGAAAAAGUGACAUCUUGGCAUCUCUGACAAGGAAGACAAAUUCUUAGCAUUGACAUUGGAAGCAUAAAAUCUUCUGGGAUCUUACGGAGAAUGACAAACACUCCAACAAGACAGCUUGGCAUCUGGUAAGAAAAUCUAAACCCAAACAACAUCUCAUAGGUAAGAUCUAGAAUCCUAAUAUUCCUUUUAAUAUGUCCUUUUUGGUGUGGAGGCUUUGGAAUGGUAAGCUUCUUUUUGAUAAAGUUAUUUCGAGGUUUGGGAGACAAAUUUUUUCUAGGUGUAGCUGCUAUGAAAAUCCUGUAUAUAAAAAUAUGCAACAUGUUUUUGUUGAAGGACAAACAGCCAGUUAAAAAACUAUUUGGUCAUCAAAUUGGUAUUAGGUAUCAUCCCCAACUCAUUAGAAAUAUCUUAAAUAAUUGGUGGAAUGUUAGAGCGGUAAAUGAGAUUCACAAGUUGGCUUUAAGGAUUACCCCCAUUAUUAUAUGCUGGAUGCUAUGGAAAGAAUAUUGUGCUUGCAUGUAUGGCAAUCAGAAAAAAUUCAACCUCUAUAAAUUGCAACAACAAACAUGUUGGGCUGUGAAGGCUGCUCUUCUCAAAGCAUAUCCAAAAUGUGAUCUUCCAAUGCCAUGGAACAAUUUUGUUGACACAUUGGUAGUGCUACACCACAAGCAAAGCAUUUAGGUUGUGCACUGACAAAAACCUAUGACAGGUAGGCUGAAGCUUAACACUGAUGGGAGUUUCAUAAGCACUGAUGGAAACACAGGCCUGGGAGGUGCCUUAUGGAAUGAUACUGGCGAUUUGAUCAUGGCUUUUUAUGUCCCAUAAAGAUGCAGCAAUCAUAAUGUUCCAGAAUCUAAUGCAGCUCUUUUUGGUAUUUCACGGUGUAUAGAAAGUGAAUACACAAAUUUCACUUUAGAAAUAGACUCUUUAAUUCUUGCUGACUUGCUAAAAGAGGAGUCAGAGAGCAAUUAUAAUAUGGUGCUGAUCAUAGAAAAAAUCGUCCAUCAAAGACAUGCAGCUAGUAUAGAUAUUGUCCAUUGCUAUAGAGAAGCUAACCAGCUAACGGAUACUUUAGAAAAGAUGGCAUCAAAGGCACACGUUGGAGCUCUAUUCCUCUCCAGGCAGCAGCUUCCUAGAGAGGCCAAAGGCCCUUUCUACUUGGAUAAAAGCCAAAAUUCCAAGUAUUAGAGUUAAAUAUGACAAAGCCAACUUUUUUGUUAGCUAGGUACUAUUAUUGUGGCAGGUGAACUUUUUUGUCAUCACCUUGCCAUUUUUGUAUUUUGAAAGGGUAAUCUUAAUCCUUGUGUUUUAUCAUUGACAAUCAUUUUGAAGUAAUACAACACCCCAUCAGAUGGGAAGUUAUAUAUAAAAAAAAAGUGACAUCUAUAGAUUGCUAGAAAAAUACAACAAAAAAAUGGACGAAGUUUAAACGCAAGGAACAAGAUUAAUUAUGUAUAUAUCAUGCGUUUACAAGAAAACACAAUUAAAAGUAAAGACUAAUGUACUGUAUAUUUUCUCUAAACAAUGGUUAUGUACCAUAUGUUUUGUUGGAUCUAUUAAUUACAAUAUGUGCAUAGAAAUAUUUACCCGGGUGAGAAAGGAAAAAGAGAUUUAAAAAAAAAAAGAGGAAAAAACAAAGUGCAAAUAGUUUAUGAGUCAGCCCCAACCUCAGUUGUUGGACUAAUACCAACUUGUAACCAUUGUGAAUGAUUCUCACAACUGAUAUUGGUAUCCUUUAGGUCGCUUGGCUUUACUAAUUUCUGUUUACUAUCUGCUUCAUCAUCUCCUACAAUUUGCGUUGCUUUAUCAUGGACGAUGCUAUCGUUCAUGUUGGUUUUUUCAGUACGAUUAUUAUUGUUGUUGUUAUUAUUUUCUUGACUCUUGUUCUUAUCAUUCUCGUUUUCUUGGUGCGGUUGCUCGUACUUGUUUUGGUAUAUAACAUCGUCUUUUGUUUCUUCAUUUUCAGUAACAUUACUCAAUGGAUGCAAGUGUAUAUCCGUGGAAACCUCAAAGCUCAAAGGAUUCGUCCAAGGUUCUUGCCUUAGUACUCUAGACAUGUCUUGAUCAUCUGCUGGAAUGUUAAGAUCUAAAGGAUCUGAUGUAUGCAAUGUUGAUUUUUCAUUUAUUUGUUCCAAGGGAUUGUGAAAAUGGAAUUUAGCAGUAAAAAUAGUUGAAUCUUGGGAGUUGGAAUUAGUGAUCCAAUGGCACCUUUUAUGACCACCUAAUGCUUGUCCUGUUGAGAAAAUCUAUGGCAAAUUGAACAUUCAUGAACUUUUGAUUUUCUCCUAGAAGCUCCUAUUAAUGAGGGGCCUUGUUCAAAUUGGUAAAAUGAUGAUUUUAAACCUUUAAAGUAAUUUUCAUUUGUGAUCACGUCAUGAUUAACUAAGCUGCUAUCAUCGAAUUGAUCUUGUUUGACUGCAUAACAUCCUUUAACCUUCUGUGACUUGCCCUAUGUCCACCUACAGCUUGAUGGGACUUGGAUACUUUUUUGCAUUUUUUACAUCCAAACAAUCCUUCGGAAGCUCCUUUAGUCUUGUCCAAUGAUAAUAUAAAGAAGUCAUCUUUUUUACUGUGUUCGAUAUCUGUGUCUCAAUUCACGAGAUGAGUACUACUAAGAUAGGUCAAUGGCUUCCGCCUCUCAUCAUCCUUACUAGACGAGGCACAUGAUUCCUCAGGGUCGAUGGUUAAUGGGUCCACCCUUGCAUUCGCUAAAUUUAUAAGACAUUUUGCAAGGAGAAGAUCUUCUUGCUCACUUGAUAUAUUAUAAGUUGAACUAAAACUUCCAACUUUAGUCCUCAAGGAUCUUUUCCUUUUAGACCAACCAUAACCUUUUCUUCCAUCUGAACCACCAGGCGAUGAUACCAAGGACUCAACAUCACCUAGCCUACAUUUUCCAUGUUCAAGAAAAGAUUUCCAUGAUAAGAGUUCUUUCCCACAGUUCUCACAUACCCUAGGGCUCUUUAGCUUAUUAGGGUUUGCUCUCAAUUGAUACAUCCUCUUGUUGUCACUUCCUCCAUGUCUGUCUUCCCAAUCACUAGCUUCAUCAUCAUCCACAAAUGCAUUCUCAUUUCCACUCUCAUGAGCUCUCAUAUGCCCACCUAGAGCUCUCCCACACAUAAAAUCUUUCUUACUAAUCGUAGGUAUUACUCGAUAGUCAAUACUAUUUUUUGCAUAAUUAAUGCAUAGGUUAAAAAGGUGUACCAAACAAGAUAUUAUUAAUAUACAAAACUAAUAUUUGUUUGUAUUAUUGUACCUAAUGCAUCCUACCAAACAACCCUUGUAAGCUUUUGUGUGGUUGCUCCUAUUGAAUUUCGUAGAUUCAAAUAGAAGUAGAACGUAGUUCUCUAAAAACAAGGGGGACAAGUCUCCUGAAUUGGCCAAAAUGAUGUUGUUUUCGGAUGAAGAGAAGAGAGAGAAAAAAAAAAGAGGAAGAUAGAAGUAUUAAAGAAAGGAUGGAUUCUCUAUUAAAAUUUUCAUUACUUUAGGGAUUGUUUGUGGGUGGAUAUUGUGAAUACUCGAGGGUGGAGGGCAGAUAUUGAUGCAUUCUUCCCGUAGAAAUGAUAUUAGUAGCCACUCUAAAGAGAUAAGUACUAUUUAGCAAUUAGUUAAUAUCUCAUAAAUUUCAAUUUUUGUGUCCCAUUUUUUAGGAUACAAAUAUAUUAAAUUGUUAGAAUUUAUAACUUUUAGCUGUAAAUUUCAUAACAAAAUACGUAUUGACUAAUCUCUAAAUAGCAGACUUAAGAAUGAUUGUUGGUGUACUUCCCCCUUUCUUUUUCCAUUGCUUGUGAGGAUCAUACAGUAAGAGGGCAACAAAAAGCAUUUUUUUAUAAAAAGGACAUUUGAAUAAUAAUAUUUGAAACAUAAAUUUUAUUAAACUCCUAAAAGCAGAAAAUUUCAAAGUCAUUUUUGUGACAUUGAUAUUACCCAUUGUAUUUUUGUGUUGUAUUGAAGAAUACAAUUAAAAAUUGACAUUGGAAUUGUAGGUUUGUCCAGGUGUCCAGCCAACAGGAAUGACAUUGGGAGCAGUAAGUUCCUUACUGAACUCAGUUGUGA